This is a long non-coding RNA of Eupeodes corollae, 578 nucleotides long. RefSeq lists it as uncharacterized. Lineage: Eukaryota; Metazoa; Arthropoda; Insecta; Diptera; Syrphidae. The record is from RefSeq and is a predicted model, not a curated record. The transcript has 2 exons.
UUCUGCAUUGUAAGUAAAAUGUUGCAGAAUUCAUAAAGUGGUAACACUGUGUGGAAUUCCCCAUUUCUGUUACAAUUGAAGUAAAUUUUAAAAUGCUGUAUUCAUAUCUCUAUUUUUAUAUUUUAGAAUUGCAUUUCAUCUUCCCUAGACAAAAUUAUCAAUAUUAUUUGUUUUCAUUUUCAGCGAUUUCUAGGAAAAUAAAUUAAAAACAAAAUCGUGUAUAAAAGCCAAUUUCGAACUAAAACACAAUUCGAUUGUAAAUUGAAUUCUGCUAGCGUUAAAUCUCCGUGAAUAUGUUAUUCCUCAAAUUUAUAUUAGCUUUUGUUUUAUUAAUUUCGUUGGUUUUUGGAAUUCCUUUAGAUGAAAAUAAAUUAUCUGAAAAUAUGAUGAUGGAUAGUGUAUUCAAUGAUCGAGUACUUUCAAAGCGACAAAUAAGAUGCCCCAUUAAGCCAGUAAUUGUCCCUGGUUAUGGAGUUUUGAUGUAUCCAAAGUGUGAUUAAAUAAAUAUUUUUUAAAUAGAACUUGUGUUAUUAUUUUCGUUGAAGAACUUAAUAAAAUAAAAAAACUUAUACAAUUUA